Molecule: long non-coding RNA, 434 nt
Filed under: Chrysemys picta bellii (western painted turtle)
Lineage: Eukaryota; Metazoa; Chordata; Testudines; Emydidae
Description: lncRNA (ENSCPBG00000008058.1)
Source: RNAcentral
AAAAGUAAAAUUGUAUGAUCAUGAUUGACACUCUCCUCUUCAGAGCAUGAGGAAUCAAAAGGAGUGGGCUGGUUGCCCACCCACGUUUUUUCUAGGAGGAACAGUCUUACAGAGGAGGGCUGCAGAAAGCUGACUUGAAUUAAACAAGACUGCUUACUUGUCUGAGGUGCUCCUCUUGGUGCUUGCUUUUUGGAGGUCUUGGUAUAGGUUCCCAUGUUAAGUGGCUGUGUUGUACAGCACAGAGUGGAGUGGUGUCAAAUAGAAAAUAAGAAAUGCACUGAAGAGGAGGAAAGAAAAUGAAAGGAAAAAGCUGAAGAGUGGGGAAAAGAUAAAGUAAUAUGAAUAUUAGGAUUCCACUAAUAAAGCGACAAGAAGCAGUGUUACUUUCCACUAGAGGGCAGAAAUGUAACAGCAAAGAACCUGUGUGAAAUGUC